AGCGUUGAAACACUGGUUCCCGUACGUUCAUCAGAGUUAAGCAACGUUGAACCUGAUUAGUACCUAGAUGGGUGACCGCUUCAAAAUACCAGGUGCUGUAA
This is a non-coding RNA of Acanthosepion pharaonis, 101 nucleotides long. The record is from the annotation of a GenBank genome assembly. NCBI's taxonomy places the organism in Eukaryota, Metazoa, Mollusca, Cephalopoda, Sepiida, Sepiidae.